Molecule: transfer RNA, 73 nt
Filed under: Marmota monax (woodchuck)
Lineage: Eukaryota; Metazoa; Chordata; Mammalia; Rodentia; Sciuridae
Description: tRNA.Ala
Source: RNAcentral
UGGGGCUUGGGCUCAGCGGUAGAGCACUCACCUAGCAUGUGUGAGGCCCUGGGUUCAAUACUCAGCAUCACAU